CCCCCCCCCCCCCCCCACCGGAACCCCGAGCAGGUGAGACUGGCCGCCCUUGAUGGUGAUGGGUCCCAGGCACGGCCCACCACAAAGGCUGCGGAGGAAGCUCUGUCGUUCCCCAAGGGACUAGGUGGGCGUGUCUGGAGGGGCCCAGAGCCCGGAGGACACAUGGGCUGAGGGGGUGGGGUGCGGCUGGCUCCCGGAGGGGGUCCUGCUAUGUCUGGCCUUGGAACAUGAGGGUCUUGUCUGCCACCGUCCGGCCUUUCUGGGCUGUCCGGGUGUCCAGUCAACGCAGCUUGGCUCCCAGGAGGGACCAGCGCUCCUCUCAGCGGAGGCUGCGGGGCCCCCUUGUCCGCUCGGCGGGGCAGCAAGAAGAGAGGGCGGGCUUCCUUUGCUCCGCUGGCUCCCUGUCCUCAGAGCGACGCCCGGCGGGCACGUCUGCAGAGCUAGCUGCGGGCGGUCAGCCAGGGCUGGGGUGGUGCUGAGGCUGUCUGCCAGCCUCUGCCCUCCCCUUCCCUCUUCUCUUUCCAUCCCAGGUUUCAGGGAGUUACUUUCACCCGUUCCCACCUCUCUGAGGGGUGGGCGGGUGCAGGACGGCUCUGCGUGGUUUUCAGGUGUUUUCAUCUGGAUGCACAUCGGUGGGCGUUCCGCAGGCAGAUCAACUGAUGAAGCUUUUCAUCAUAACGAUAAUGUCGGCAACCGCAAACUACUGGAGUCUGCGAAGUGCUGUGCACAUUACCCUGGAGGCCUGGCAGCAGGGUUGGGGGCUGUCAGCUGUUUCACAGGCCCCACCCCAGAUCCAUGCCAGUGGGUAUCAGGAGGAGAAGCCCUGGAGGAACUGGAGGAAGCCAACUGGAGCCUCAGACACGCGAGCAGCUGUGUCCCACUGGGGCGGCAGCAGUGGCCUCUGGAGGAACCUCCAGCUCCUCCUCUGCCACCAGCAUAGCGUCCAGACAGAAGCCAGAACUACCCAUGAAACAUCACGCAGUGUGACAUAACUGGGUCACCGAGUGGUCAGAUAUUUGGUCCGACUUUAUUCUGGGUGUUUCUGGGUGAGAACAGGUGAUUCUGUGCACCUCUCCAGGCGGGCCUUGUCUGAUCAGCGGAGGGCUGCGUCCGGGCACCCACCUGGCUCCUGCCCACUUUCUUCCCGUUCUUCUUGCUGACCAACACGUGUCUUCCGGGCUGGCAGGGAUGUGGUCUGUACCAAGAAUACUGCCCGGCUCAGAGCAAGGGAAGCCACACCUGAGAGGGCAACAGGCAGGAAGGCCAGGGGUCUCCAAACCCAGGAGACAGGCUGCAAGUGUCAGACACUUUUUCUCUCUCUCUUAAGCGGCAGGAGGAAACAAGUGUUAGCUUUUCUCCCUUCUCUAUCCAAAUCUAAAGAGGCUUCUUUUAAAAUUCUGUGUUGCCAUGAUGACACCUGGUUCCACCUGAACUUUUCUCAAACCUGGAGCUAAACAAUGCGUUUUUCUUGUGGAAACGUUUGUCUUAAGCUAUGUUAAUGAACUGUGUAUUUACCCUAGACUCUGUCUUCAAAUCGGUUCUGCCUGAGACUCAGGACCAACUGACAAACCGGCGUUUGUACUCAUGCACUGCUCUCGUAAGCUAUGUUAGUGAGACUGCGUUUGCUUGGAAACUUGCCUUUCUUCAAGAUUCACGUUAAUCGUCUUAUGGCUCAGGAUGACCCACCUGGUGCCAAUGUUAUCUCAAAAUGCAUGUGUGGGUGAGGGGUCUGGUGCCAUUCUCUGAGUUUUGAGACUUUUCCUUUUUCUAAUUAGCAGACCGCUAGUAGCUAUAUAACAUUCAGCUAAAGACUGGCCCGGGGCACUCUUGCUGCCCCCUUCUGAUGUCUAUGUCAGAAGCUUUCUCUAUCUCUUUUAUACUUUAAUAAAACUUUAUUACACAGACGCUCUGAGCGAUCA
Molecule: long non-coding RNA, 1919 nt
Filed under: Bos mutus (wild yak)
Lineage: Eukaryota; Metazoa; Chordata; Mammalia; Artiodactyla; Bovidae
Description: lncRNA (ENSBMUG00000019688.1)
Source: RNAcentral